Molecule: ribosomal RNA, 245 nt
Filed under: uncultured bacterium
Lineage: Bacteria
Description: partial 16S ribosomal RNA
Rfam family: Bacterial small subunit ribosomal RNA
Source: RNAcentral
AUGGCGACCGGCGCACGGGUGAGCAACACGUAUCCAACCUGCCGAUAACUCGGGGAUAGCCUUUCGAAAGAAAGAUUAAUACCCGAUGGCAUAAUUAGACCGCAUGGUCUUAUUAUUAAAGAAUUUCGGUUAUCGAUGGGGAUGCGUUCCAUUAGGCAGUUGGUGAGGUAACGGCUCACCAAACCUUCGAUGGAUAGGGGUUCUGAGAGGAAGGUCCCCCACAUUGGAACUGAGACACGGUCCAA